AUUUCUGCUUGCUAGAGAUGACGAGCGGCGGACGGGUGAGUAAUACUUAGGAAUCUACCUAGUAGUGGGGGAUAGCUCGGGGAAACUCGAAUUAAUACCGCAUACGACCUACGGGAGAAAGGGGGCAACUUGUUGCUCUCGCUAUUAGAUGAGCCUAAGUCGGAUUAGCUAGAUGGUGGGGUAAAGGCCUACCAUGGCGACGAUCUGUAGCUGGUCUGAGAGGAUGAUCAGCCACACCGGGACUGAGACACGGCCCGGACUCCUACGGGAGGCAGCAGUGGGGAAUAUUGGACAAUGGGGGAAACCCUGAUCCAGCCAUGCCGCGUGUGUGAAGAAGGCCUUUUGGUUGUAAAGCACUUUAAGCAGUGAAGAAGACUCUUCGGUUAAUACCCGGAGACGAUGACAUUAGCUGCAGAAUAAGCACCGGCUAACUCUGUGCCAGCAGCCGCGGUAAUACAGAGGGUGCAAGCGUUAAUCGGAAUUACUGGGCGUAAAGCGAGCGUAGGUGGCUUGAUAAGUCAGAUGUGAAAUCCCCGGGCUUAACCUGGGAACUGCAUCUGAUACUGUCAGGCUAGAGUAGGUGAGAGGAAGGUAGAAUUCCAGGUGUAGCGGUGAAAUGCGUAGAGAUCUGGAGGAAUACCGAUGGCGAAGGCAGCCUUCUGGCAUCAUACUGACACUGAGGCUCGAAAGCGUGGGUAGCAAACAGGAUUAGAUACCCUGGUAGUCCACGCCGUAAACGAUGUCUACUAGUCGUUGGGUCCCUUGAGGACUUAGUGACGCAGCUAACGCAAUAAGUAGACCGCCUGGGGAGUACGGCCGCAAGGUUAAAACUCAAAUGAAUUGACGGGGGCCCGCACAAGCGGUGGAGCAUGUGGUUUAAUUCGAUGCAACGCGAAGAACCUUACCUGGUCUUGACAUAUCUAGAAUCCUGCAGAGAUGCGGGAGUGCCUUCGGGAAUUAGAAUACAGGUGCUGCAUGGCUGUCGCCAGCUCGGGCCCUGAGAUGUUGGGUUAAGUCCCGCAACGAGCGCAACCCUUGUCCUUAGUUACCACCGGGUUAAGCCGGGAACCUUAAGGAACCUGCCAGUGACAAACUGGAAGAAAGGGGGGGACAAACUCCAAGUUAACAUUGGCCCUUUACGACCAGGGGUUACACCUUGGCUACAAUGGUAGGUUCAAAGGGGCUCUUCCACCCGAUUGGUAUGGCAAUUCUAAAAAGCCUUUU
RNAcentral lists this ribosomal RNA (1224 nucleotides) under Psychrobacter alimentarius. Its description in RNAcentral is "bacterial SSU rRNA". It matches the Rfam family "Bacterial small subunit ribosomal RNA", at positions 72 to 1287 of the family's 1533-position model. Lineage: Bacteria; Pseudomonadati; Pseudomonadota; Gammaproteobacteria; Moraxellales; Moraxellaceae. The record is from RNAcentral.